Molecule: small nucleolar RNA, 137 nt
Filed under: Tupaia belangeri chinensis (Chinese tree shrew)
Lineage: Eukaryota; Metazoa; Chordata; Mammalia; Scandentia; Tupaiidae
Source: RNAcentral
UUGGCCCUGAAUCAAGGCCAGCAGUUUGCUGAAGCUGUUGGUCUCAAGCAGGCACCUAAAGAAAAGUCUUUUUCUGGUCUGUUGGUCAUUUCAGGACUUUGGAAAUGUAAUGGUCAAUUCAUUAGGAAGAAACAUAU